Molecule: ribosomal RNA, 498 nt
Filed under: uncultured Pseudomonas sp.
Lineage: Bacteria; Pseudomonadati; Pseudomonadota; Gammaproteobacteria; Pseudomonadales; Pseudomonadaceae
Description: bacterial SSU rRNA
Rfam family: Bacterial small subunit ribosomal RNA
Source: RNAcentral
GCCACGCCCGCUCAGUAACUUAAAGAUUGACGGGACCCCGCACAAGCGGUGGAUCAUGUUGUUUAAUUCGAUGAUACGCGAAGAACCUUACCAGGUCUUGACACUCCCCCCGCGAUGCUUUUAGAGAUAAAGCGGAGGUAUUCGGGGAGACAGGUGGUGCAUGGUUGUCGUCAGCUCGUGUCGUGAGAUGUUGGGUUAAGUCCCGUAACGAGCGCAACCCUUGUCCUUAGUUACCAGCACGUUAUGGUGGGCACUCUAAGGAGACUGCCGGUGACAAACCGGAGGAAGGUGGGGAUGACGUCAAGUCAUCAUGGCCCUUACGGCCUGGGCUACACACGUGCUACAAUGGUCGGUACAAAGGGUUGCCAAGCCGCGAGGUGGAGCUAAUCCCAUAAAACCGAUCGUAGUCCGGAUCGCAGUCUGCAACUCGACUGCGUGAAGUCGGAAUCGCUAGUAAUCGUGAAUCAGAAUGUCACGGUGAAUACGUUCCCGGGCCUU